Non-coding RNA from Xyrichtys novacula (pearly razorfish), 13737 nucleotides. Lineage: Eukaryota; Metazoa; Chordata; Actinopteri; Labriformes; Labridae. The record is from the annotation of a GenBank genome assembly.
CCACGCUUUAUCAUCCAAACACAGAUAGACCCACCUUUGUGUGGAAUGACAUCAUCCUCUAAAUAUACAUUAUCAUGAUGUGGACGUACAAACGUAAGCCUCUGAAAACUAUCGCUAACUUAAGAUUCACCCAAAAACAGCAACUAUUUCACAUUUGAACGUUGUGUAGAAUUUAUUUAUUCAUUUUUCUGAAGAGACUCAACAUGCAGCAGCAUGUUUAAGUUGGUUUAUACUGAAAGGAAUAUCAUAAUAGUUUAAUUUCUGAUGAUGUAGAAAAAGUCUUUUACACUGAAAAAGCAGCAAGUCCUCCAAUUCUCAGACAGAAGACGGUUGUGGUUGUCCCACACGCUCUGCUCCAGUUGCAUGAAUGUUGACAUGGUCAGAUAUUAAACACAGUGUCUACUCUUCUUCUCUGUCUCAUUCCUGGCUCCCCCACCAGCAUGCAGCACCUUUAUUGGAGGUAGAGCGGUCGUCCAAUAACCAAAAGGUUGCUGGUUCGAUUCCCCCCUAUCCUGAGUCUGUCCAUUGUGUCCUUGGGCAAGACACUUAACCCACCUUGCUUUCAGUGUGUAACGGCCACUGGUGUAUGAUUGUGAGUGUUGUGUAGUGGUGGUCGGAGAGGCCGUAGGCGCAAAUUGGCAGCCAUGUUUCUGUCAGUCUGCCCCAGGGCAGCUGUGAUUACUAAGGUAGUUUAUCACCAUCAAGGUGUGACUGUGUGAGUGAAUGAAUGAUGUAUCCGAUGUAAAGUGCUUUGAGGGUCUCUGAUAAAGCGCUAUAUUAAAUCUGUGCAUUACUAUCAUUAGAAGUAGUAGUAGUAGUAGAAGUAGUAGUUGUAGUAGUAUUAGUAGUAGUAUUGUGAAGUUUGGAUUUGUAGCAUUUACUGUGAGCAGUUGUUUUCUGGUUUUGGUUGUUUUUAAUGCAUUUGAUGUUUCUGCUGCUGUUUUUUUUUUUUUUUUUGCAGCACAUUUUCUUUAUCUACUGUGAGUUUUCACUGUCACAUUUGCAGGAAGAUCAUUUGUGCCUGUUGCAAGUUGUCUGCCCGCCCUUGCCAGCCACCGUAGAGACCACCCCUCUGCUUUGCAUCUGCGUCUCGCUCUCCUUGUUGACUCCCUUUACAUUUAAUCUGCAGCAGAGAUGAGAGUCUAAUCCUGUAAUUAAAGCUCCUGUGAGGAACUUUCUGUCUGUGUUGGCGUUGGUGCCCCCUGUGGACAAAGUGAUAACUCUCGUAAGUGCUUUUGUACAUCAUAAACACUCAUCAUAGUUCAUCUCAGUCUGUCAAUCAAGAACUGCUCACAAGAGCAUUGAUGUCUUCGUCUGCUUUAAAGUCCUGGCUUGUGUAGAAAGUUACUAAAUAAUUGAACUGCAAAACAUUACACCUAGACUACUGUGUGCAACUUAAUUUCUGCAUAAUGUUUUCAUAAUUCUGUACAGCUACUAUCGCCAGGCUAAGAAUAAAAGCUGUUGAAACAGAAACAAACAAAAAAAAAAAGGCACGAAAGAAAAACUCACUCAGAAAAAAAAAGAUUAUUUUAGAAAGACAAAAUGCUAGGAGGUAUUUUUUUUUCUUAUAAAAAAUUAUUCUGUUUGAAUUGGUAAGUAACAAGACAGAUAUAUUUCAUAUCCUCCUUAAAAUAUCCCCCCAAAGAGAAAUAAGCCCCAUUAUCAUGACACCUGUUUGCUUUCGCCCCAGGUGUUAAAUCGGGUAAAUAGCACCAUCAAUUGCGAAACAGCGAACCACAAAUUUGGAGAUUGACAUCCAGAUUGACUGAAUCUUAUUAGACUGAGCGUGCUUUUUGCUGCAGGAGCUACGUAACCAAAAAAUGGUGGUUAAAACGGAUUUAAAUAUGGUCACUUUUGGCCCAGAUGCUCUGAGUGGGAAAAAUUUGAAUUACACAGCGCGCUUUAGACUUAUUAAAACAAACUAAAUUCAGAUUCCCAAACAAAGGUUUAUGUCCGCCACAUGUGGAUUAUCAAUGGAAAAGUAAUCCUGAAGACAAAAAUGUGCGCUUCCCAAAAAAGACUUGUGGAACAUCUGGGUUAAGCACUUCUACCACUAUUAAGGCAACUCUUCACUACAAUCCUUUGGAAAUAUAUAUUUAUAUACAAGGUAUUAAUACCUGCAGAGUGUUUUCAUGUCGCCAACCUCAGUUGUUCCUGCCGACAAACAUGUUUAUAAGUAGCAGAAACAUACAGAACGAUUCACAGCCAGAGCUUGUGGGGAUAAAUGUUUAUUUGUGUAAAAGGUGUCACCUUCUUAUUAGAGCCUAAUAAACAGUUUUCCACUCAGGUGAGCAGUGUGGACUAUUAUUCUCUGACAACUUCACAACAACACCAUAAACGAGGGGAAAUAAAAGAUUCCCUGUCAGAGAUCAAAUUAUCAGCUCACAUCGUAGCUCUUCAUUCUCAGUCCUCUGAUUUUUUCCACAUACUCCUUUCUGCUUCCCUCUUUAGUUUCUCUCUCUUUUCUCACCCUCCUCCCUCAUCAGAGGUGAAAAUUUACCCAAAGGGAGUCUCUCUUUCUUUCCCUCUCUUUUCUCGUGUCUUCACACCUUCCUCAUCAGCUCUGCCAAGUUUCCCCCAAAGGUGUGCCGCAGCUCGCUGACUAGCUGCAGGAAACGAUAGCAAGCUUGAGGCAAAUUUUAUCGCCUCUUCAAACUGUGUAUUUUCAGAACUGGAAGACGUCUGUCUUUGUUUUAAAGAAGUCUGUACUCAGACUGAGUUGGGUUAGCUGUAUUGUUUUUUUUACAUUUGCAAGAAGAAAUAAUCAAAUUACAAGUUUUCACCCCUGCAAAGACAUACUUUUGUUGGGUUUUUGAACUCACACAUAUAGUUUGAAAUAAAAAAAUAGCUGACAGUCUGAGUCUUUUCAAUAGAAGGACUUAUUAAGCGAGAAAGUCUCACUUUAACAGCCUUUGUCUUACAUUUGCUGGUAAACUUUUCAUUCUGCUUUUGUGACAUUCCUGCCCUCAAUGUAAGCAACACAUGAGUGUGGGUCUGUUAGAUAAUCGCUGAUGCAGGGGUUCUCUUUCAAACAAUCAAAAACAGUAGAAAAGACAAACGUAGUUGAAAAAUAUGGUGAUGGUGAAAUUUAUUUAGAGUCAGCUUUCCAGGGUGCAGUGCAAAAAUAUAGACAAAAAAAGGUGCAAAAAUGGUCAAAAUGCUAUUUACAAAAAAUGUAAAAGGCAAAAAAAAAAAAAAAAAAAAAAAAAAAAGACAAUGCCAACAAGGUUAAGGUAAGGUAAGAUUCUUGCUCAAGAAAAAUAACAAGCAACACAGCAGCAAUACAACAACAAAAAGAAAAAAAAAAAAAGGAAAAAAAAAAUUCAGUUCAGUAUAUACAUUUUUUAAACCCCCAUAGCCUCUCCCAGUGGGAGUUAUUAAUUACAUAAGUUUGGAAAAGACAUUUUAUUAUUUUAUUCACUUUUAAACCAUUUUAUCUCUCUUUUAACAUUCAGACAUUUUCUUUAUAUUUUUACCAUUUUAACUAAGUUUUCACAUAAAUCAAUGAAGCAUUAAUUUUUCGAGAUUCAUUGAAAACAAGAAGGGAUUUUUUUUCCGGCAACUUGUGACCACUUUUGCCCGCCAUACCCAUUUUUUUAUACCCGGAAAUCAUGCGCUCUGUUUCCUCGUUUCAAACCAGAAGCCGGCAUGGUGGUGUGAAUGGACGCGCUGCGGGUAAGUGGAGGAGUGGAUGUCUGUGUGAAUGUGUGUUUAAGUUAGCCGACAGAGCUCAAAUGUGCACCCUUUGUAACCCUAUCCAACGGAGAUGAUAGAAGGAGAAAAGGAGCUGUUUAGAAGGUGAUUGAAGACGGUGUCAGGGAAGGAAAUGUUUGGCGUGUAUUUGUGUGUCUGUGUGUGUGUGUGCGCGCGCGUGGCUCCGUGCGCUGCCCGCGGUCAGUGACGACGCCGCUCCACCACCAUGGCAAAAAUGACAAUCGUGAUUGUUUGGUUUGAAUAUCGGGAUUGUUAUAAAUGAUUUCUCAUGAGUUGGCAUCUGUAUCACUUCUAUUUGUACAACUUAAAGUCUCUGAAAUACUUUUUGAGAAAAUAUAGAAAAGGCAGUUUGGCCUCUCGGUCUGUCUAACUGGAUGAUCUUAUGUUAUAAAAAGUCACAUGAACUCCCACUGAGCAUUUUUUGGUCGAAAAGAGGUCUAAUAGAGGUCUAAAUGUAGCUUAGACGACUGGUCUAGAAUCAGGCUGCCACAGGUCUAAGAAUGAAAGUCUCUUUAGAUGUCUAAAUUUAGAUCAAGUUCAGACUAAACCUAAAUCUGAACUAUAUCUAUAGCCUACUACACUGUAUAUUACUCAACAGCUAUCAUAAUUAUUUUGGUUAAGUACUUGGAGAUCAGUUAUGCAACUCACAGUUGCUUUUUGAAAUAAAUAGUUAUUGAAUAAUGGGUUAAAGUGCAACAUCUAAAUUCUGUCUAAAAUUGUCUAAAUUCUGACAUCUAAUUGCCGUCUAUGGCUCAGUGGGUUACUAUAGAAAUGAACCAUGCAUCAUUUUUUUACUUUACUUUCAGGGUUUGACUUAAUUCUGCUGAUUAUACUCACAAAAGUAAAAGCUAGAUUUCGCUUGUAAUACUGAAAUCUUGAAUAGUAGCAGGACUGAAUGUUGCAUGUCGUAUUUUUACAGUCACAAAAAUAAGCAUUUGUGUUCUUUUACUGCUUACACUUUAUCACAGGCCGCAGACUGAAGAAACCAUUCAGUCUAUUUAAGCUUGUAUUUAAUGUGCUUUGUAACUUCAAGACUUCAGCUUGUAUUUUAUUCCGAUUCUUGACAAUGUGUCUCAUUUUCAUCCAGUUAGCUCAUUGUCCCUCAUGCACAUUGUGAUCAUUCUGUCCUUUGGCUAUUCAGUCAAACAUGGAAACACAACCACCUGCCUCCUGAUGAUGUUGGUGGCUCUCCUGAGGCAGUAAGAGCUGUGAAGGUCCUCCAGUGUGGGCCCUCUCCCUGCUCUCCUCUCUCCACCUGUGGCUGCUUGAUAGUUUGUACAUCUGUUGCUCAACAUGUUGAAGAUUCAGUUGUCCACCGUUAAUCUCAGUGGGAGCAGCAACUUCCUUGCUCUCCAAAACUUUGUUUCUCAUUGAUCUUGCUUCUUGUGAUAAAGUGAAAGUGAGAGCUGUUUUAGGGGAGGGGCCAUAACCUCGCUCUGCUGUUAAGUAAGAGAGGGAGGGUGCACUUUAUUCAUCAUAAAGGACAGAAUGGGGGCAACACAGCAGGCGACGGGAUAAUUGUCCAAUCUGGAUUAUCAUAUUUUUAUAAUUGUGGGGGGCCAUAAUCAUAAUUGAUAUUGCCUAACUCUACCUUGUACCCACAGAGAAGCCCACCAGUGUAGCCCAAUAUGCACCUCCUCAAAAUAGUUCCUUUACCUUGAAACAUUGUUUUUAUUGUAAGCCCUGUGAUUGGUCUGCACUUGGAUUUGCUCACCUUGGUUUCCUGUUUACCUACAAGGAGGGAGGGAACUUAGCAGGACAAGAAACUGACGACAUAAUGAGCACAGACAUGACACUGCUGACUUUCUUUUAGUGGAGCACUGCAGAGCAAUGAAGAUACUCAAAUGCAAGUGUGUGUCUACGUGUUAAAAGCGGAGCCUAAGUGAAGACAUAAAAGAUUUAAGUUAUCAUUCAGAGUGAAAUCAAGGUGUGUGGAGCAUAACAGACAGCUGAAAUUAAAAAUAUACACUCCUAAGACGUUACGUGAUUGAGUGAUUCUCUGUAAAUUACCCCCAAACUGAAGCUGCACCAAGCCAGUGAUAUAGAAGUGGGAUGUAACUACAAGAAUUGGACACAAGCUUAAUGAACGGGACCUCAAAGAUCAGCCCCCUGCCUUCAGGGCUGCGGCAUGUAUGUGUUUGUGUGUGUGUUUGUGUGAGUGUUUGUGUGAGUGUGUGUACAGUAUGUCCUCAGGCUGAAGCAGGUUGAGGAAAUCUGUAUUCCAUUAACUGGUUUAGCUUCAGACCCAGCCCUCCUCUCACCCUGUUUUUGGUGCACUGAUGCUCUCAACCUGCUGCACAGCCACAUCUGGCUGUUCAAAGGCCCCGAUGUGUGCUUGUGUGUGCAUGUGUGUGUGUAUGUGCGUGUGUGUGUAUGUGCUAAGGUAUUUUCCCAGCAGCUGCCUGCAAUCUCCACAGAGCGCUUUGGUGUCUCUCUCGCACACAAAAAUGCACGAGCACACAUCAUUAAAAACCAUUAGUUGCUGUGAAACACAGCUCCCCUCAUGCCUGAAAGCAGUACUGUGUGUGCAAUGUGUGUGUGUGAUUGUGUGUGUGUGUUUUCGUCAUGAAGGAAUGCACAUGUUUAACCGUAAAAGCAAAGGUUAAUUAGGAGCAGACAUACUUGUUUUGUUGCUUCACAUUUGGAGUAAAGCAACUUGUUAAAGAGAGUAACAACUCAAAAUCCCUGUUUUUGAGGGGCCUUGAAUGUGCAAAGUUUUAACUUAGAUGUCCAGAAGGGUUUUUCUCUAAGGAGGAACCUUCUGGAUUUUUAGGCUGUCAACCAAUGUGAUCAAGAAACUCUGCAACAAUUGUGCAAUUUGUAAUGACAUUUUGGGAAGUCAUUUUACUGUUUUCCAGUCGUUUACAAGAGAUAUAGAGGUCAGGGUUAGGGUUAGGCUUCUUGCUCUUGGUUGUAUUGAUUUAUGUGUUGUGUGGGAUCCAAAACAUUCAGCUCAGAGUGGUCAAGAACUGGUGAUGUAAAGCUCCUGUGAGGAACUUUUGGUUUGUGUUGAUUUUGGUGCCCUUGUGGACAAACCGGUACCUUUCAUCUUCACUGAUUUGUCUUUAUUAUUAAAAUAUUUAAUGUUACACUCAUGAGGAUUUAUGUUCAUGCAAAAUUUAUUUCCUUCUUACAAAAAACCUCAUCAUGCUGACUUUUGGCAGCCAUAUUGAUCAUUUAUUGGUAAUACUUACCUGCUUGGCUGACAACAGGCUCCUUCACACCAGUAUCAGGUAUCAAAGAAUAUGAAAAAAAAAAUCAUAAGUUGUGUGGCUGAUGCUUCUGUUUACUUUUGGAUAUAAAAAGGCGUUAAUAUGAAUUUCCGUCUAUUCCAUAUAUGUCAAAAAAACUCCUCAGGGGAGCUUUAAUCCCUUAAGCUGACACCAGUACUGUGAAGUUUGAUGACUAUAGAUGACAAGAUAAGCAAAGUCUGCUCUGUUCAGAAGUGGUGCAAAAAUGGACACACAUGUUCUUCCUUUCCUCCUGAAAUAUCUUCUGAUCUACUGGAUGACUUUGUAUAAGAAUUUGGAGCAGAAAUGUGUACUAAUGAAGUAAAGACCAGGGACAUACUUGAACUUGCUUCUUCUCUCAUGCUAACAUGCCAGUAUUGUUAUCGUGUUUAUCGAAAGAGCACAUCCAAAGACAGCAAGGACCAUAAAACUCCAUGUAGUUUGCUCACUGUGUGAUAAAAUGUAAAGGUUCUAAUCAAAGCUUCAGAGAGAUAGUUUUAUUAGAUACUGAGAAAUUAAAAAGUACCUAAAGUAAUAGGUUUAUAGUAGCUUAAACACUUUUAAAAAGUGAGCAUAUAUAGAGAGAAAUGUUGGUGCCCCAUCUAUAUAGACACAAACUUUAUUGUUAAGUAGUAAUCGCUUUAGAUUCCCAUGCUUAUAGCUGCUACUUUUGUACUUCCUUCAUUUCCUCCUGCAUGUAAGAACUGUGAAAAUAUUUAUAUUUAGCCACAUGCCUUAUUCAUUAUUUAAGGAUUCAUGUUUUUAUAAACAUGAGAGAAACUGAAUUUUUAAUAAUCACAACUUUCACUUUUGGCCUUGCAGAAAAAGUCUGACAUUACAGUCUGCACCUGUGGCACAAACUUUCUCUCUGUGCCGCUGCAGCAAGACAAGAUUUCUGUAAGUGUGUUGCAUAACUAAUACAUCUGUGUGUGUGUGCAUGCAUGUGUGUGUGGUUGUUGGGUUCAUGCUGACUGUGAGACAGGACGUUCCGCGGGAGGACAGACCAACUGUGGCUGAAUCCACAGGUGCUAAGAGAGAGACAGUGUGCAUGUGUGAUAGUGACACACUCAGUAACAAAAAAAACAGAAAUAUUGAGUGUGUGUCUCUGUCAGAAGGUCAGCGUGUGUGUCUGUGUGUGUGUGUGUGUGUGUGUGUGUGUGUGUGUGUGUGUGUGUGUGUGUGUGUGUGUGUGUGUGUGUGUGUAUGUUUAUGAAAAAAAGUGUUUAUGAAAAAAUUAUUGCUGUAGUUCAGUUUGACCCUGAACCAGGACAAAGGGGGUUUCUGUGUGAGUCUUUGUGUUUGUGUGUGUGUGUCCUUGUGUGGACCAGAUAGAGCUCUACACCUUGACAGUAAGGCAUUGACAUUUGCUACAUAAUUAACAUGUUGUUGCUUAAUCAAGAGUCAUUUAUCCUAUUUUAUGAAGACAAUCCAAGUUCCCUUGUAACUCUUUUUUUAUCGAAUGCCGCUGCGUACACUCGAGACAAACUUGAUAGUCAACUGUUGAUCAUCAACUUGGUAGAAGAAAAGUGUGAACAGCUGAUUAAUGUACAGUUUGCAUUUCAAAACAGGCUCUCACUAGCUUCCUUUAUGUUUUGACACAUUAAACCUGAAUUUAAAAAUUGUAAAAGUCCAAAUACAAUUGAAGUGCACAGGCUUUUUGUAAAAUAAUAUAGAGAUAAUUACAGUCACCAAAGCUGUAUAACUGUCCCUUUUAGUUGCUUGUGUAGGUAGUUUUUGCUGUUCUAAGGAAGCACACCAUUCAGCAGUGACGUCUUUGGGUUGUUUUUGUUUUUUUUUCUCCUCCCAAAACUGAAUUGAAGGCCGUUUUUGCACAGGAGCUACAACAUGAAUACUCUUAACAGAUAAAUCUGUAACAUAAAUGCGUUUCUCACAACACUCUGAACAUCUUAGUGAUUUAAAGUAGUUUGCUUUCAACAGGUUUUUGUAUUGGGAAGGACAUUGGAUACAUUUGAUGUGUUAUAAUGCAGAAGACAGAAAAAAAAUGGUUUCAAUGAAUUACUGUAUGUGGUGCCGUCUGUUUAAGCACGCCCCAUAAAAUCGAAGGUUGAUCGAGGGUUCGACUCCUGCUCCAGGUAUGAUUUGGUGCACAGCCUCCCCCUCUCCCCCCUUUCCUGUUGCUUUCAGGUUGUCCUAUGAAUAAAAACAAAAAAAACCUAAAAUAAUCUUAAAAUGAAAACUGAAAAAGAAUCACUUUACUGCCCUUUGAAAUUUGACUGUUGCAUUUUUCAUUGUGUUUUAUCAACCUUUCAAGAAUAUCAGAGAGGUAACAUCCAAAACCACUGAACAGCCUGAGUGACCUGAACAUAAUCUUUAUUUAUGUAAAAAAGAUUAUUGUAUCUUUUUUUGUUUGUUUGAUAAAAUCCAUCCUUUCUUUAACCGGUUCCUCUUGAAAACAGCGAGGCAGCUCCCUGCAUUGUAAGUGUCUGUACAGGUAAAGGAGUUCAAGUGUUGGAGCGCAUUAGCCUGAUUAUACCCGGUUAGGGGCAUAACACCAAGAACACAACCUUAAAAAAGACCCAUUUCUCCCAAGUCUCAAGCAGCCACAAUGACAAUUGAUUCAAAGUUAAUUCACAAGAACAUAUUCAUUAAUAAAAUUAUGAUAAUAUACCACAACAAAGAACUGGGUUAAACUAGCUUCAGGGUGAAUCAAGGCCCAAAAACAACAAACACAAUACAAUUACUCACCUUCCUAACUAACAAAACAUAAGAAUAUGAUAUUAAAUAAACUGGCGAUUCACCCCUACAAAACCUAACAAAAGGUUAUUUGGCUGGUCGGGAGAGGAGGGAGAUGAGAUCCCAACUCCAAGUCUCUGAUGUCAUCUCUCAGCUGAUAAAGAGAAAACCCUCCUGACCCGGCCUAUCACCUGCAGAGUAGGAGACAAGCCGUCUGAUUGGCUAAGGGGAUUUUGGCGUCCCUAUUUGUGCCCACAUUUACACCAGCACUACUGAAUCAAACUACACACACCCCAAAAAGAAACACACAGCAUAACAUCAGUCAUAAAAAGGGAUAUGGACAAAAUUUAAGCACAGUAUAAUCCAACAUUAUCUAUUCUAAUUAAUGUCUAUGAGCAAUACUCCAGGUCUGCAGUCAUUUCAGUGAAUUACAGAGAGGAUAAUCAUUCAACAGGAUAAAACUGAGCCACACCGAUAAUUAUGAAAGUCUAAAUGUAAUUAAUGAGAAUUAUUUCAGUGUGGGAACUAAUGGUCAGCAAAAAGGAUCAACAGGAGAUUACACUGCAAUCUGCUCAAUGAGAAUACACAUUAAUACAGGCGCAGUCACACACAUUUACAGACACACACACACAUUCUCACACACAUAUUCUGAUUAGAUUUUUGGAAGCUAAGCUUUCCAACAAUAACUGACCUUUAGUUUAAAUAUCAGCACACAGAAGGUGCUCAGACUCACAGCUGCUAAAAACCAGACUCAGUUUAUUAAGACCUGCGUUCAUUAUAAGAGUAAAGAAGGAAAGUAAUGACUGAAAAUGUCCCCAAAACAGUCCAAAUCAAACUGAAUAAACUGUACAAAUGUUUUAAAUAACAAAGUUUGUGUACUAUACCUGUAGUUUCUGUCAGUAAAACACCUAAAAUGUAAAAAGUUUAUUUCACAAGUGACACAUUUAUCUGUCAUUUUACUCAAAUCAGUUUUAAACUCAGUUUGGUACAUCCUGGUGGUGCAUUUAAGUGUUUUUCUCUGUCAGGGUCAAAGUUCAGACUCAGGUGUGAACAGUCAGGUGUGUUGAAACUCCCUCAUGUCAGUCCUUCACCAUCCACCCUGUAAUACAUCUGAUUAAGCUUUAUUCAUAAAUUUAAACAACAUGAAUUAGGACUGAUGCAUAUUUUGGGAUUUGAUUUCAUAUUAUAGGGGAUUUCCAGCUCAUAUUUUAAACCCUUUUUCACAACUAGAUUACAGCCAUCUGUCUUUAUUUUGAAUUACACAGUUAACUCAAUGCCAGUGCUCUUACAUUAUUGACAUUUUCUUGUGUAUUUACUUCUUGAUCAGCAGAAACUCUGGUUAGGUGCUGUUAAAAAGCAAAAUAAUGAAGAUAAACAAACAAAGGCUCUCAAGUUUACUUGGAAGUAUAUAGGGCUGGGUGAUAUACCAAAAACACGCGGCGGGUAAGGUAGAUGACGUUAAUGUGGAAGGGAGUGAGCAGCUUGUGGAGUAGUUACCGUCCAUUUAUCGUUAUCGAGGUGAACUGCUCAAUAUAUCGUGAUAUUGAUUUGAGGCCAGAAUACUGCAACUUAAUUAGCUUACAGGUACAAACACCAUGUCAGCUGUGAGGAAAAGUGAUGUGUGGGAGUUUCGGGCGGCAGUAGCUCAGGAGGUAGAGCGGUCGUCCAAUGACCGGAAGGUUGGCGGUUCGAUUCCCCCUAAUCCAAGUCUGUCCGUUGUGUCCUUGGGCAAGACACUUAACCCACCUUGCUCCCAGUGUGUGUCCUCCACUGGUGCAUGAUUGUGAGUGUUGUGUGGUGGUGGUCGGAGAGGCCGUAGGCGUAGAAUGGCAGCCACGUCUCCACCACCACCAAAGUGUGACUGUGUGAGCGAAUGAAUGAUGUAUCCAAUGUAAAGUGCUUUGAGGGUCUAUAUGAAAUCUGAUGCAUUAUUAUUAUUAUUAUUAUUCCCAGAAUCACAGCUGGGAAUUGAAGACAGACUGCUGUUCUUAAGCUGACCAGUAAAAAAAUGUAUAAUUUAUGAGUACUUAACCACUCAUUCAUCAAGUAAUUAGACUUAAACAAGAGGAUGACUGGAAAUGCCCAUCCCUAACUGUAAUUGAGUUGAAUGUUAAGAAGUGUAGUUAAGUCUACUUUAUGGGUUACCCUAUACUUCACUAAAGCAUUCUGAAUUUGGAAGAAAUAAUCUGAACUUUUAACUCUGCUACAUUUCCAUUAAUGUUCUUGUUCUUGAAAAAGUAUUUCACACAUUUGCACAUAUAAAUUACAAUUUAACACGUUUAGCAGUUAAGUAAGUCACCUACUUUCCAUCUUUUACCAAUCACAUAGUUUAAACAUGAGAUUUUUUACACCAAAAAUUCACCAUCUGACAUUCUUAUGCAGCCGGCCUCAAGAGUACAAUGAGGGAACUGCGGUUUUUAGCACUUCUGCAUCGGCCCCUGAUUUGUAUAAUUGUAUUUGCUGACCACUAAUGCAAAACGUUGAGCCGUUUGAUCGCUUGAUUUCACUUGAAAAUGUUGCAAUUUCCUAUGGUAGUGUGGCAUUGAAGUUUUGAACCUCAAUUUUUACAUCUUUACUGCAUAUCAGCACAUUUUUACAGGAUGUAAUCAAAGUUACCUGACAGAUUCUGGUUCCAAACAGGGAGUGCACAGGAAGGAGGGCAGUGUGUGUGUAUAUGAGUUUAGACUCUACAGAUUAGACCCCCAGCGUCAGCUCAGGCAGUUGAGCCUGAGCUUUGUGACUGAAGUGGUUGUGUUCUUUUUAUACCGCAUCAGAGUACACACAUGCACUCACACACACACACACAUACAUAUACCACAAAGCGCAGACCUCAGCGCAUGUGGCCGGGAUGCAUGUGGUGGCAAAUGAAGCAGCUUCUCUUCAUCUGUCUAAGAGUGUUUAUGUUGAUUUGGGUUUGGUGUAAAGCAACAAAUCCCUGGUUCAGGCCUCACCCCUCUCUCUCUCUCUUCUUUUCACUAUUUUUACUUUUCCUGCCCUCUCUCUCUCUCUCUCUCUCUGUAGGUCACUCUGUGCCUCGCUCUCUCCCAGAAUAUCCCUUAACUUUUCUCUCUUUCUGUUUGCUGACUUGGCACUCCUGCCUUCCUUUUAAACCCCUCAGCACACACACAGACAUAGACACGCACACACACACAUACUGUACACACACUCCUCUCAACAUUGCACUUAAGCACAAUAGUUAUAUUCAAAUGUGCUCCCACAUGGCUGCUGUGAGUCGUCCGUGUCCAGUCAGCAGAAGUUGGACUCGAACACGCCAACCUACAUUUGAGGUUAAUAAAUCAUAAGAAGGUAAAAAUACUAAACUGUUAUGUUAUUUAAGACCAUUUUUAGGAUUUUAUUGACUUAUAUUUAGUCUUAGGCAGGACAAAGGGGGUUAAACAGAUAACCGGUUUCAUCACCAUUUCUUUAAGUUUAUUAAUAAUGAUUAAUGAGGACGCCUAAAUCUAACAACCAAAACUUUAAAACCUGCUGCAGUGGAAGGAGUGGUCUUUAGGAAGGAAGGAAAAUCAUGAUAAUCUGUCUGAUCUAAUUACUGGACAACACGAUGGAACCAACCCAAGACGCUAAACCCACUUUUCUAUCUUAGCCUUAGUCUUAGCCUUAAGAUCUAGUUUUUACAAAUCCUUUCAUACGUUUGUAGUACAGGUGGUUUUAUAGGUGUAACCAAUUUGUUUUAAUCACCAGUGGAUAAACCUGCACUCGCUGAGAGGACAACUUUCACUUGGUAAACAUGAGGAAGUGGCCUGAACUUGACCUCAGCUGUCUCCCUCCAGCUCUCUCUUUCUCCUUCUUUCUCUCUUUUACUCAACCAGUUUCCCUCUCUUUCCCUCCCUCUCUCACAAACACACACACGCGCACACACACACACAUACAGUACAUACAUACUGGAGACACCUGUGUAAACCAUCUGCUUGGCACCCGCCUCCUUAUCCCAAAAAACACCCAGGCUAUGGAUAACACACACACACACACACACACACACACACACACACACACACACACACACACACACACACGCGCGCACACACGUUGCCUUGUAGAACCAUCCACACUCACACUCUCUGACUCAAACCAGCCCAGA